UACGUAGGGUGCAAGCGUUGUCCGGAAUUAUUGGGCGUAGAGAGCUCGUAGGCGGUCUGUCGCGUCGGCUGUGAAAUCCCGAGGCUCAACCUCGGGUCUGCAGUCGAUACGGGCAAACUAGAGUAUUGCAGGGGAGACUGGAAUUCCUGGUGUAGCGGUGAAAUGCGCAGAUAUCAGGAGGAACACCGGUGGCGAAGGCGGGUCUCUGGGCAAUAACUGACGCUGAGGAGCGAAAGCGUGGGGAGCGAACGGG
RNAcentral lists this ribosomal RNA (253 nucleotides) under uncultured bacterium. RNAcentral's name for it is "partial 16S ribosomal RNA". It matches the Rfam family "Bacterial small subunit ribosomal RNA", at positions 524 to 776 of the family's 1533-position model. The record is from RNAcentral.